RNAcentral lists this transfer RNA (82 nucleotides) under Intoshia linei. It matches the Rfam family "tRNA". Rfam says of the family: Transfer RNA (tRNA) molecules are approximately 80 nucleotides in length. Their secondary structure includes four short double-helical elements and three loops (D, anti-codon, and T loops). The record is from Rfam by way of RNAcentral. Lineage: Eukaryota; Metazoa; Orthonectida; Rhopaluridae.
GCCGCUGUGACCGAGUGGUUAAGGUGAUAGACUUGAAAUCUAUUGGGGUUUCCCCGCGCAGGUUCGAAUCCUGUCGGCGGCG